CCGUCAUGUACGAGAUCUUCUAGAAGUAAGGGCACCACAAGAACGCGUGGAGCAUGUGGCUUAAUUUGACUCAACGCGGGAAAUCUUACCGGGUCCGGACACACUGAGGAUUGACAGGCACUAUACGGCACCACACUCACUCUGUGCGCGUGGUACCGUAGCUAAAUAUGCUAGUCCUUUCAUGAUUAUGUGAUAGGUGGUGCAUGGCCGUUCUUAGUUCGUGGAGUGAUCUGUCUGCUUAAUUGCGUUUCGCUAAAGGAUCUUACAGGGCACAGCUUCUGGUGUGCUAUAGCUAUGCUACGCCUCACCGGUCUUACAGCUCAGCGGUCAGUGCGUCUUAGGCUAAGCCUCGGAUGCUUCUUAAGCUCAGCUAGACCAUACGUGGAGCUAUAUGGCUCACUCGCUAGGGGCACUAUAUGUGAACUUCUGAUCCUGAAAGCAACGAACGUGACCGCAACCUCUUGUUGUGCUAGCUCUAUAGCACAGCACAAACUAGAGGGACCGCUGUUACUUUUCUUAAACCAGAGGAAGGUUGCGGCAAUAACAGGUCUGUGAUGCCCUUCGAUGUUCCGGGCUGCACACGUGCUACAAUGAUCAUUGCAGUGAGCAUCUCUGUUUUUCACUUAUAGCUUGGUGAUAAUUCAUUAUCUCUGAACUAGGUCUACCCCUUACACGGCUCUACGCUAUAGUGGCGCUCUGUUCUAACUCUGGGACUACACCCUCUUGGCUUCGGUCAUACGUAUGAGGGCUGUACCUGGUCUAGUUCAGAUAUGGAGUACCGCAUCAGCCGUCUGAGCCUUCGUGGGGUGACCUUAGCCUACCUCGAGACGUAUGCUUAGGGUAAUCAAUUACAAGUCAUGAUUUUCCAAUAUCACACACUGAUAUACGGCGUCCUAGUGGACGGCACUGCACUCUUGUGCGGUGCUAGCUCUAUCUGAGAUGUUCUUUAACCGUAUGUGCGAUUGUCAAUUCAUGGUGGGAACAGACCAUUGUUAACUGUUGGUCUCGGUCGUAACUAGGAAUGCCUUGUACGGGUCUUAGUUCAACAGACUACCCGGAAUACGUCCCUGCCCUUUGUUCACACCGCCCGUCGCUCUUGGCGAUGGACUUCACUGUGAGUUGCCCGAACUGGGCGCACCCACCU
RNAcentral lists this ribosomal RNA (1144 nucleotides) under Globobulimina auriculata. RNAcentral's name for it is "SSU rRNA". It matches the Rfam family "Eukaryotic small subunit ribosomal RNA", at positions 1129 to 1730 of the family's 1831-position model. The record is from RNAcentral. Lineage: Eukaryota; Foraminifera; Rotaliida; Buliminidae.